Molecule: long non-coding RNA, 2173 nt
Organism: Pezoporus occidentalis (night parrot)
Lineage: Eukaryota; Metazoa; Chordata; Aves; Psittaciformes; Psittacidae
Exons: 2
Source: RefSeq, a predicted model, not a curated record
CGUGCCCCGUCCUGCGGCCGCGUCUCUUGGUUUAUCGCUUGGGUUUAGUGGUUAUUUAACGGUGUACGUGGUUUUAUCGCCCCUCUCUCUCCGGCUGCGCCCCCGCGGUGCGGCCGGUGCCGGGGAACGCCACGUCCUGCGGGCAGCGCAGCCCCGGAGCCUUGGUGCCGGAGGUGUUUGUGUGCAUGUGUCCCUGCGCUGCUGCGCCAGACGCGCCGUUCCCUAGGAGUUUGCCCCGGUAGCGCUGCCGGGACGGGCUUAAAAUGCGGGGUGCGGUGAGGAUGGAGUCGGCGGUUUUAUCGGUAACCGCGCCGGCAGCACCGGUUCGGAGAACUUCGCGAAGGCAGAGGCCGCGCUGCGGGAGCCUCGGGUCUGAAAAUCGGGCGUGAAUAGCGGAAAAGAGAAAGAAAAAGGAAGAUGCAGAAGAGAAGUUGAAGAAGGAAGGAAAGAGGAAAAAAUAGUGGAGAAAAUCAGAACAGAGUUGACUUUUCUAAGAGGAAUUAUCCAGGAAGCAAAAUGUGCAGCUUCCCUCUUCUUUUUCUUUUUUUUCCCUGUUUUUAGCCCAUCCCAGAUACUGCUAUUUGGAGAUAAGUGGGUCAAGCAAAAGGGCAUAAAUAAUAGUGAUUUCACAGUUGCUGUGGGUAUGGGAGAGUGCAGCAGGAAGGGUGGAUUCAAGGAAAUGUUGGCAGGCUCUCAACGGGAAGCUCCUAGCUGAGCCACGGGUUGCUGUGCCCAUCUUCUGCCACAAGACUUUGGGCUGUGCCAACCAGGUGGGAGCGGGAUUAAAGUGGAAAUAGAGCAGAUGGUGAAGUGCAGCACAUCUAGACUUACUGAAUUUACUAUGGGACAGUAUGUAUUUGUGGGAGCAGCUGGGGGAAGGGUGGAUCAACCUGCUGAGCAGCAUCAUAGGGAAACAACCAGUAAAGUACCCUGAUCAGGGACAUUAGAAAAUGGGGCAUAAUUUUUAUAUGUCAAAGAUCCUGAGCUUAUUAGCAAGGAAUGUUUCUUCUGGCCCACAUGUGCCUCCCAUUUUUAUUACCCUCAAGUGCUUCGUUUCCUCUGGCUGGUGGUCACAUAUCAUCAACGAGGCAUAUGUGGGAUACCCCUUCUUCUUACAAGGCCAACAAUCUCUGCAUUUCUGCUGAGGGCUGAAAUCAAGUUUAACAUCUGAAAAUAAGGAGAAGGAGAUAAUACACCCAGGUGCAGUUUGAGGAUGCUGCUGCAGAGGAACUGCUUCCCAAAAAGUGAGCUAUAAACCCUAUAGUGACAUUGCUGUCAUAGAGGAUGAAAGCACACUCUACUUAGUUGUUUGCAUCAGCUUUCUGCGAAGUUUAACUUGUAUUUGCUUUUAUUCUUCUUUUCCUGGUGGAUCAAGGUUACUGUGAACAACUGUACUGCAUUGUGGUUAGGGGAUAGUGCUCUGGCUUUUGAUGCUCCUGAAGCCCCAUCAGUUCAUUCUGAGACCUGGCACCCUAUCUUCUAAGCAAGUGGAGCCUCCUGGCUUCCAACGGACUCUGUGCUUGGAUUACGUACCCCCAGCAUCACCUGCUUGUGUUGCCACCAGUGCCUUUUUGGUUCUUUUUCAGCUCGAGAACAUACUGCAAGAAAAGCUUUUAUCUUGUUGGAAACGCCUGAACAGGAGCUUUUUACAUCCUUAUGACUCAUUCAACUCAACCUUGGAAAUCUGGAGCAGCAUGUCCUGGUUGCUGCAGUAGAGGCUCAUAGAGAUUUACUUCAUCCAGCUGGGACCUUUCAGGGCUGUGUGGAGACCACUGAACCGCGUCCCUUGCUGGAGAUGGGUUGUUUGCGGGUGUGGGUGAUGUCCUUGCAGAAGAAGGGCAGUGUAUGGGGUGGCCUUUCCCUGAUAUGGAGGAGGAGCAUGGCACCUUGGGAAGAUGAUUUUUCCUUGCCUCCAGGAACAUAAUACAUUCAUGCGUUUAGAUCUGUAAAUCUGCUUGCGGGUACUAACAUAUUGCAGAGUAGCUGGCUGCAUAAAUCUCUUGCUGUUGAAUGCAGAGGAUCAGGUAGAAGAGUCUGAGGGCUUGGGUUGUUUUCUUGCGAUCAAGUCUGUUUUCCAGAUUUUAGGACAUUCUUCAUCCUGCUGAUUCUCCAUAUGGGUCUAACAGUGUUAUUGCACCUUUGUCCUUCUCAUGGAAAAUAAAAAGAUGAUUCU